Molecule: long non-coding RNA, 250 nt
Organism: Syngnathus acus (greater pipefish)
Lineage: Eukaryota; Metazoa; Chordata; Actinopteri; Syngnathiformes; Syngnathidae
Exons: 3
Source: RefSeq, a predicted model, not a curated record
GUUGUCCUAUUUGGACCUCUCAUGUCAUACUUCACAAGCAGAGAGGAAAUUAUAAUCAUUGACUGAAGAUCAAGUGAACAUAUUAUGGAUUUAUGGCCCAAGACUCAAGAGCUGCUGCCCCAGUACACCAGAUAUGAUACAGUGCCUGGCAGAAAUUAUACACAUCACCAUCAUGAAAGACAUCAGGCAGCAUAUUAUCCUCCAGAUAGUCGUGACGAGCAGCGGAAUUAUUUCAGAGAGUCCAGCUACU